GUCGGUGUUUUUAGCGAUGAGGAACCACCCGUUCCCAUUCCGAACACGGCAGUUAAGCUCAUCAGCGCCGAAGAUACUUGGCUGGAGACGGCCCGGGAAAAUAGGUCGAUGCCGACA
This 117-nucleotide ribosomal RNA is filed under the name Clostridiales bacterium. The record is from RNAcentral. Lineage: Bacteria; Bacillati; Bacillota; Clostridia; Eubacteriales.